This 22-nucleotide ribosomal RNA is filed under the name uncultured Turicibacter sp. RNAcentral's name for it is "partial 23S ribosomal RNA". Lineage: Bacteria; Bacillati; Bacillota; Erysipelotrichia; Erysipelotrichales; Turicibacteraceae. The record is from RNAcentral. RNAcentral also lists the same sequence under 1 other name.
GGUUAAGUGAAUAAGGGCGCAC